Long non-coding RNA from Oncorhynchus keta (chum salmon), 401 nucleotides. RefSeq lists it as uncharacterized. The transcript has 3 exons. The record is from RefSeq and is a predicted model, not a curated record. NCBI's taxonomy places the organism in Eukaryota, Metazoa, Chordata, Actinopteri, Salmoniformes, Salmonidae.
AUAGAGUCUGGAGUUGUUCUAGAACACAUCAUAUGAUAUCAGGUCUGAUAGAGUCUGGAGUUGUUCUAGAACACAUCAUAUGAUAUCAGGUCUGAUAGAGCCUGGAGUUGUUCUAGAACACAUCAUAUGAUAUCAGGUCUGAUAGAGUCUGGAGUUGUUCUAGAACACAUCAUAUGAUAUCAGGUCUGAUAGAGUCUGGAGUUGUUCUAGAACACAUCAUAUGAUAUCAGGUCUGAUAGAGUCUGGAGUUGUUCUAGAACACAUCAUAUGAUAUCAGGUCUGAUAGAGUCUGGAGUUGUUCUAGAACACAUCAUAUGAUAUCAGGUCUGAUAGAGUCUGGAGUUGUUCUAGAACACAUCAUAUCAUAUCAGGUCUGAUAGAGUCUGGAGUUGUUCUAGAAC